RNAcentral lists this unclassified non-coding RNA (161 nucleotides) under soil metagenome. Its description in RNAcentral is "partial internal transcribed spacer 1". The record is from RNAcentral.
CCGAGUUUACAACUCCCAAACCCCUGUGAACAUACCUAUCGUUGCCUCGGCGGAUCAGCCCGGCGCCUCGGGCCCGUAGAACGGGACGCGCCCGCCAGAGGACCCCAAACUCUAAUGUUGCUUUAUUAGUAUACUUCUGAGUAAACAAACAAAUAAAUUCA